Molecule: ribosomal RNA, 195 nt
Filed under: uncultured bacterium
Lineage: Bacteria
Description: partial 16S ribosomal RNA
Rfam family: Bacterial small subunit ribosomal RNA
Source: RNAcentral
CCUACGGGAGGCAGCAGUGGGGAAUAUUGCGCAAUGGCCGAAAGGCUGACGCAGCGACGCCGCGUGUGGGAGGAAGCCCUUCGGGGUGUAAACCACUGUCGGGGGGAACGAAUCGCGAACGGGCAAAUAGCCCGGACGCUUGACGGUACCUCCAAAGGAAGCACCGGCUAACUCCGUGCCAGCAGCCGCGGUAAU